CGGAGGAUCCAAGCGUUAUCCGGAAUCACUGGGUUUAAAGGGUCCGUAGGCGGUUUAUUAAGUCAGUGGUGAAAUCUGGUCGCUCAACGAUCAAACGGCCAUUGAUACUGAUAGACUUGAAUUAUUGGGAAGUAACUAGAAUAUGUAGUGUAGCGGUGAAAUGCUUAGAUAUUACAUGGAAUACCAAUUGCGAAGGCAGGUUACUACCAAUGGAUUGACGCUGAUGGACGAAAGCGUGGGGAGCGAACAGGAUUAGAUACCCUGGUAGUCCACGCCGUAAACGAUGGAUACUAGCUGUUCGGAGCAAUCUGAGUGGCUAAGCGAAAGUGAUAAGUAUCCCACCUGGGGAGUACGUUCGCAAGAAUG
RNAcentral lists this ribosomal RNA (366 nucleotides) under uncultured organism. RNAcentral describes it as "bacterial SSU rRNA". It matches the Rfam family "Bacterial small subunit ribosomal RNA", at positions 526 to 896 of the family's 1533-position model. The record is from RNAcentral.